AAGUCAGAAGGGGGCUGGUUGGAUGUCAAAGCAUCUUCUAAACCACAGGUGAAACCUGUGAAACCAGGUGACCUAGUGAAACCAGGCCAAUCUCCAACCCCCAUGCCUCACCCAAUCCUGGCUUUAGAAGCAGGGUCACUUCCUCCUACCAGUCCAUCUCCCCAGGAUUGUCGCAUCAGAAGCAGCAUCUCAUUUCUCAUUGGCUUAUUUACUCCUAAAACGUGUUCCUCUUAG
Molecule: long non-coding RNA, 234 nt
Filed under: Homo sapiens (human)
Lineage: Eukaryota; Metazoa; Chordata; Mammalia; Primates; Hominidae
Description: non-protein coding lnc-MPP7-7:1
Source: RNAcentral